GCCAUGCUGAAAGCUAGACAUAAAUGUGGAUCGUGUUCUAUGUUGAUAUAAUUUUAAGCAUUUAUCGAUGUUGCCAAAAAUUGUACAGGUGACUUUAGAUCAUUGGAAAGUUGUCAGAAAAUAGCAUGUUUAGUUAUAUUACAAAACAAAUAAAGCCAUGCAGUUGAGACUGAAAGAUUUCAAAACACAAAAUAUUUUAACCUUUAGUUCAAUUCAGAUAUAAACCAC
Pelobates cultripes (western spadefoot toad) is the source of this 228-nucleotide non-coding RNA. NCBI's taxonomy places the organism in Eukaryota, Metazoa, Chordata, Amphibia, Anura, Pelobatidae. The record is from the annotation of a GenBank genome assembly.